This 253-nucleotide ribosomal RNA is filed under the name uncultured bacterium. Its description in RNAcentral is "partial 16S ribosomal RNA". It matches the Rfam family "Bacterial small subunit ribosomal RNA", at positions 524 to 776 of the family's 1533-position model. The record is from RNAcentral.
UACGUAGGGUGCAGGCGUUAAUCGGAAUUACUGGGCGUAAAGCGUGCGUAGACGGUUAUUUAAGUCGGGUGUGAAAGCCCCGGGCUCAACCUGGGAAUUGCAUUCGAGACUGAAUAGCUAGGGUACGGUAGAGGGAAGCGGAAUUUCCGGUGUAGCGGUGAAAUGCGUAGAGAUCCGGAGGAACCCCAGAGGCGAAGGCGGCGUCCUGGCUCGCAUCUGACGCUCAGACACGACAGCAUGGGGAGCGAACGGG